Molecule: long non-coding RNA, 314 nt
Filed under: Cucumis sativus (cucumber)
Lineage: Eukaryota; Viridiplantae; Streptophyta; Magnoliopsida; Cucurbitales; Cucurbitaceae
Description: long non-coding RNA (CSAT_LNC001080)
Source: RNAcentral
GCGAAGCAACCUUGCAGCAGUCGUCCCGCGCGCCGAUCUGCCGUCUCCAUCGCUGGUUCUGUCUUCGUCGAAGCCCGAGCCGCCGUGUGAACCAGUAACCGCCACGUUCGCCGCUCACAACCGCCGGUCGUCGAUCCACAUUCUGUUUUCCUCUUCAUUCAAUUUCCCCUGAAAAAACCCUCACCCAUCGGAUUUCAAGACAAUCGAAGCAACCUCAAGAGGGAAAUCAAGACAAUCAAGCCGUCCCGAUGGGUGGUGCCUGUUUUUGAUUGGUUGCAACGCGAAGGGGCUUUGGCUUUGGGCCCUGAAGGCCC